Molecule: long non-coding RNA, 332 nt
Organism: Daphnia pulicaria
Lineage: Eukaryota; Metazoa; Arthropoda; Branchiopoda; Diplostraca; Daphniidae
Exons: 3
Source: RefSeq, a predicted model, not a curated record
UAUUAUCUUUCAAAUGGUCUUCAUCCGUUCGGUUCUCGUAAUAAAAUUCACUCUAACAUACUUAAAAACAAACUAAUUAAUCUGGAUAAAUGUCAACUGUGUGCGUAUGACAUAAUCAAGAGAAUGUUAGAAGGAAAGCCGGAAGAUCGAAUCAAUUCGUCAGAUGUCGCUGAACUACUUUACGAAAAGCUUGUGACACAAAAACAAUUUAUGGACUUAUGUUCGAGUGAUACUUAUCCUAGUUUAAAGGAUAUCAAAUACUUUCUGGAAAAACGGGUGGAUGUCAACUUUGUCUAUCCUGAAGGAUGGACUCCCCUUUUAUAUCUGGCAAA